GAUGAACGCUGGCGGCGUGCCUAAUACAUGCAAGUCGAGCGAACGGACGAGAAGCUUGCUUCUCUGAUGUUAGCGGCGGACGGGUGAGUGACACGUGGAUAACCUACCUAUAAGACUGGGAUAACUUCGGGAAACCGUAGCUAAUACCGGAUAAUAUUUUGAACCGCAUGGUUCAAAAGUGAAAGACGGUCUUGCUGUCACUUAUAGAUGGAUCCGCGCUGCAUUAGCUAGUUGGUAAGGUAACGGCUUACCAAGGCAACGAUGCAUAGCCGACCUGAGAGGGUGAUCGGCCACGCUGGAACUGAGACACGGUCCAGACUCCUACGGGAGGCAGCAGUAGGGAAUCUUCCGCAAUGGGCGAAAGCCUGACGGAGCAACGCCGCGUGAGUGAUGAAGGUCUUCGGAUCGUAAAACUCUGUUAUUAGGGAAGAACAUAUGUGUAAGUAACUGUGCACAUCUUGACGGUACCUAAUCAGAAAGCCACGGCUAACUACGUG
This 497-nucleotide ribosomal RNA is filed under the name uncultured bacterium. Its description in RNAcentral is "partial 16S ribosomal RNA". It matches the Rfam family "Bacterial small subunit ribosomal RNA", at positions 28 to 507 of the family's 1533-position model. The record is from RNAcentral.